GUGGGCUACGGGGACAUGUACCCCAUGACGGUCGGGGGCAAGAUCGUGGGCUCCCUGUGCGCCAUCGCUGGGGUCCUCACCAUCGCCCUGCCCGUGCCCGUCAUCGUCUCCAAC
Molecule: regulatory RNA element, 114 nt
Organism: Oryctolagus cuniculus (rabbit)
Lineage: Eukaryota; Metazoa; Chordata; Mammalia; Lagomorpha; Leporidae
Rfam family: Potassium channel RNA editing signal
About the family: This family represents a group of sequences related to the human potassium channel Kv1.1 hairpin element which directs the efficient modification of an adenosine to inosine by an adenosine deaminase acting on RNA (ADAR).
Source: Rfam